UACGAAGGGAACUAGCGUUGUUCGGAUUUACUGGGCGUAAAGAGCAUGUAGGCGGAUUGGACAGUUGAGGGUGAAAUCCCAGAGCUCAACUCUGGAACGGCCUUCAAUACUUCCAGUCUAGAGUCCGUAAGGGGUGGUGGAAUUCCGAGUGUAGAGGUGAAAUUACGUAGAUAUUCGGAGGAACACCAGUGGCGAAGGCGACCACCUGGUACGGUACUGACGCUGAGAUGCGAAAGCGUGGGGAGCAAACAGGAUUAGAUACCCGCGUAGU
RNAcentral lists this ribosomal RNA (271 nucleotides) under uncultured bacterium. RNAcentral describes it as "partial 16S ribosomal RNA". It matches the Rfam family "Bacterial small subunit ribosomal RNA", at positions 524 to 794 of the family's 1533-position model. The record is from RNAcentral.